RNAcentral lists this long non-coding RNA (247 nucleotides) under Ailuropoda melanoleuca (giant panda). RNAcentral's name for it is "lncRNA (ENSAMEG00000030685.1)". The record is from RNAcentral. Lineage: Eukaryota; Metazoa; Chordata; Mammalia; Carnivora; Ursidae.
CUGACGUGCCCGCAUUAAUCAGAAAUUCACCAUCCUAGUUCCAAGGCAGAGGGAUGACAGGCACGGCACCAGCAGCGGCCCCACCUUCCUUCUGCAAAUGCAUUCUUCAAUUCUAGAAGGAAAUCAUAAGCGACUUGCCCGGGGAGGAUUGCUCAUGAGGCUGGAUGUUUGUCCCAUCCUCUACCAGGCCUCAACAUCUUCUGAAGGCAAGAGCCUGGAGGGUCAGCCCUGGAUCCAGGAACCCUAA